GAGGGUGUAGCUCAGUGGUAGAGUGCGUGCUUAGCAUGCAUGAGGUCCUGGGUUCAAUCCCCAGUAGCUCCA
This 72-nucleotide transfer RNA is filed under the name Camelus bactrianus (Bactrian camel). It matches the Rfam family "tRNA". Rfam says of the family: Transfer RNA (tRNA) molecules are approximately 80 nucleotides in length. Lineage: Eukaryota; Metazoa; Chordata; Mammalia; Artiodactyla; Camelidae. The record is from Rfam by way of RNAcentral. RNAcentral also lists the same sequence under 3 other names.